CAACUCCAGAUUUUAGCCGAAGUUGACCGUUGCAUCACUACCAUGGGUCCUCCUCUGCAUAACCCUCCUUCAACCCGAACAAGCAUCUCAAAGAACAAUUCGUGAGCAAUUUAAGUGGAUCCUCUAUGCUCGAAAUCGCGGCGCUUACGAUCUCUAUCCCCAUUCUGGUCAUUAUUCGUCCGUCCAUCACCUCCAUUUCCAC
This is a long non-coding RNA of Lotus japonicus, 202 nucleotides long. RefSeq lists it as uncharacterized. The record is from RefSeq and is a predicted model, not a curated record. The transcript has 3 exons. NCBI's taxonomy places the organism in Eukaryota, Viridiplantae, Streptophyta, Magnoliopsida, Fabales, Fabaceae.